GCCGAGGUGGCGGAAUUGGCAGACGCAGGGGACUUAAAAUCCCCCGGGAGAAAUCCUAUGCCGGUUCGAAUCCGGCCCUCGGCA
RNAcentral lists this transfer RNA (84 nucleotides) under Candidatus Riflebacteria bacterium RBG_13_59_9. RNAcentral's name for it is "tRNA-Leu". It matches the Rfam family "tRNA". Rfam says of the family: Transfer RNA (tRNA) molecules are approximately 80 nucleotides in length. Their secondary structure includes four short double-helical elements and three loops (D, anti-codon, and T loops). Lineage: Bacteria; Candidatus Rifleibacteriota. The record is from RNAcentral.